This 492-nucleotide ribosomal RNA is filed under the name uncultured bacterium. RNAcentral describes it as "partial 16S ribosomal RNA". It matches the Rfam family "Bacterial small subunit ribosomal RNA", at positions 29 to 507 of the family's 1533-position model. The record is from RNAcentral.
AGUGAACGCUGGCGGUAGGCCUAACACAUGCGAGUCGAACGGCAGCACAGUAAGAGCUUGCUCUUACGGGUGGCGAGUGGCGGACGGGUGAGGAAUACAUCGGAAUCUACUUUUUCGUGGGGGAUAACGUAGGGAAACUUACGCUAAUACCGCAUACGACCUACGGGUGAAAGCAGGGGAUCUUCGGACCUUGCGCGAUUGAAUGAGCCGAUGUCGGAUUAGCUAGUUGGCGGGGUAAAGGCCCACCAAGGCGACGAUCCGUAGCUGGUCUGAGAGGAUGAUCAGCCACACUGGAACUGAGACACGGUCCAGACUCCUACGGGAGGCAGCAGUGGGGAAUAUUGGACAAUGGGCGCAAGCCUGAUCCAGCCAUACUGCGUGGGUGAAGAAGGCCUUCGGGUUGUAAAGCCCUUUUGUUGGGAAAGAAAAGCAGCAGGUUAAUACCCCACUGUUCUGACGGUACCCAAAGAAUAAGCACCGGCUAACUUCGUG